GACCGACUGCCACUUCACGAGUAUACCAAACCUAAUUAAGUCCAUUAAAAUUGGUGAGGUCUAGGGUUUUGAGUGCAGAAAUCCUAACGCUUAUCCUGUGCGUUUACAUGACCAUUUACGCACUUCCAAUAACUUCAAUGUCAAGUACUUGUCCCCGUUUUGUAAUGAAAUUGAUAUUUCUGAAUCGUGGUCGAAUCCUCCUCCUUU
Arabidopsis thaliana (thale cress) is the source of this 207-nucleotide long non-coding RNA. RefSeq annotates it as other RNA. The record is from RefSeq. Lineage: Eukaryota; Viridiplantae; Streptophyta; Magnoliopsida; Brassicales; Brassicaceae. The transcript has a single exon.